Molecule: ribosomal RNA, 501 nt
Filed under: uncultured bacterium
Lineage: Bacteria
Description: partial 16S ribosomal RNA
Rfam family: Bacterial small subunit ribosomal RNA
Source: RNAcentral
AUUGAACGCUGGCGGCAUGCCUUACACAUGCAAGUCGAACGGCAGCACGGGUGCUUGCACCUGGUGGCGAGUGGCGAACGGGUGAGUAAUACAUCGGAACGUACCUUAUCGUGGGGGAUAACGCAGCGAAAGCUGUGCUAAUACCGCAUACGCCCUGAGGGGGAAAGCGGGGGAUCGAAAGACCUCGCGCGAUUAGAGCGGCCGAUGCCUGAUUAGCUUGUUGGUGGGGUAAAAGCCCACCAAGGCGACGAUCAGUAGCUGGUCUGAGAGGACGAUCAGCCACACUGGGACUGAGACACGGCCCAGACGCCUACGGGAGGCAGCAGUGGGGAAUUUUGGACAAUGGUGGCAACCCUGAUCCAGCAAUGCCGCGUGGGUGAAGAAGGCCUUCGGGUUGUAAAGCUCUUUUGUCAGGGAAGAAACACCGGCUCUAACACAGUCCGGGAAUGACGGUACCUGAAGAAUAAGCACCGGCUAACUACGUGCCAGCAGCCGCCGUAA